Molecule: ribosomal RNA, 407 nt
Filed under: uncultured bacterium
Lineage: Bacteria
Description: partial 16S ribosomal RNA
Rfam family: Bacterial small subunit ribosomal RNA
Source: RNAcentral
AUUGAACGCUGGCGGCAGGCCUAACACAUGCAAGUCGAGCGGAGCGGCAGACGGGCGAGUAAAGCCUAGGAAUGAGCCUGGUAGUGGGGGAUAACGAACGGAAACGGGCGCUAAGACCGCAUACUAACCGAUGAGCCUAGAUCGAAUUAGCUAGUUGGUGGGGUAAAGGCCUAACAAGGCGACGCCCCCUAACUGGUCUGAGAGGAUGAUCAGUCAAAAUGGAAGUGAGACACGGUCCGGACUCCUACGGGAGGCAGCAGGGGGGAAGAGUGGACAAUGGGCGGAAGCCUGAUCCAGCCAUGCCGCGUGUGUGAAGAAGGCCUUAGGAUUGUAAAGCACUUUAAGUUGGGAGGCGUGACCAACAGAAUAAGAACCGGCUAACUUCGUGCCAGCAGCCGCGGUAAUUC